This 22-nucleotide non-coding RNA is filed under the name Arabidopsis thaliana (thale cress). Lineage: Eukaryota; Viridiplantae; Streptophyta; Magnoliopsida; Brassicales; Brassicaceae. The record is from RNAcentral.
CUUGGUGAAGUAGCAGGAGCUC